This 433-nucleotide ribosomal RNA is filed under the name uncultured bacterium. Its description in RNAcentral is "partial 16S ribosomal RNA". It matches the Rfam family "Bacterial small subunit ribosomal RNA", at positions 29 to 507 of the family's 1533-position model. The record is from RNAcentral.
AACGAACGCUGGCGGCAUGCCUAACACAUGCAAGUCGAACGAGACCUUCGGGUCUAGUGGCGCACGGGUGCGUAACGCGUGGGAACCUGCCCUUAGGUUCGGAAUAACUCCCCGAAAGGGGUGCUAAUACCGGAUAAUGUCUUCGGACCAAAGAUUUAUCGCCUUUGGAUGGGCCCGCGUUGGAUUAGCUAGUUGGUAGGGUAAAAGCCUACCAAUACGACGAUCCAUAGCUGGUGUGAGAGGAUGAUCAGCCACACUGGGACUGAGACACGGCACAGACUCGUGAGGGAGGAAGCAGUGGGGAAGAUCGGACAAUGGGGGAAAGCAUGCUCCAGCAAUGCCGGGUGAGUGAUGAAGGCCUGAGGGUUGUAAAGCUCUUUUACGCGGGAUGCUAAUGACAGUACCGGGAGAAGAAGCGCCGGCUAACUCCGUG